GUGGAGUGAUCUGUCUGCUUAAUUGCGUUUCACUAAGGGCCCAUAAAUUCAAGGUAUGUUAGCAAAUGCUGCUCUAUUGACCCCUAAUAGGCUUAACUGUCUUUAGCGCGUGUCUCUACGAGUUCUUUAAAGCACUGCGCAUGCUGUUGGGUCCUGAAAGCAACGAACGUGACCGCAACGUCUUGUUGCCUCUCUAUAAUAUCUUCUUAUUUUUAAUAAGAGUAUUUACCUGAGGCUAUUUUAAAACUAGACGGACCGCUGUUUCUUUCUUAAACCAGAGGAAGGUUGCGGCAAUAACAGGUCUGUGAUGCCCUUAGAUGUUCCGGGCUGCACACGUGCUACAAUGAUCAGUACAGUGAGCAUCUCAAUUUUAUAACACCGUAUUAAGCGCUUGGGUCGUAAUUGUUAGGCCUUUUAGGUUUUUUCAAUUGCGUUUCUCCAAUGCGCACGGUAAAGCCUGCUUCGAGAGUAAGUGGGUAAUCCAUUGGAAGUAAUGAUUUCCUUAUUUUUAUAAACAGCACACCAAUAUACGGCAUUCAUUCCCGAGACGGCUUAGUUCCGACUUUGUGCGAAUGUAAUGUAUUCUUAUCCGUAUGUGCGAUCGUCAAUUCAUGGUGGGGACAGACC
This 627-nucleotide ribosomal RNA is filed under the name Globorotalia inflata. RNAcentral's name for it is "SSU rRNA". The stretch from base 1 to 342 matches the Rfam family "Eukaryotic small subunit ribosomal RNA", at positions 1301 to 1501 of the family's 1831-position model. The record is from RNAcentral. Lineage: Eukaryota; Foraminifera; Rotaliida; Globorotaliidae.